GCUUCAGUGAAGAAAACAAACCCAGCUCUCUGAAUUCCAGGUGAGGAACGAAAACUCUGAGAAGC
Ancylostoma duodenale is the source of this 65-nucleotide non-coding RNA. NCBI's taxonomy places the organism in Eukaryota, Metazoa, Nematoda, Chromadorea, Rhabditida, Ancylostomatidae. The record is from Rfam.